AUGACAUGCUAGUGAAGUACAGAGAGGAGCUUACAAGGCCCUUACAUGAAGCAAUGGAUUUCAUGCGAAAAAUCGAAACUCAGCUUAAUAUGCUUGGUACUGGCCCCGUUCGGAUCUUCAACUCUGGUACUACUUCCUUUCUUCUUUCUCAUAAGCAUCAGCACAGGCGGAGUUACAGUUCCUCUUACGAGUUCGGCAAAAUUCAUUGGUUUUGAUUUCGAUUUUAUAUUUGUAUUAAAAUUUAAUUAAUAUAUACAAAUAGUUUAUACAAACCCAGAAUCAUAAUUUUGCCUCAUUACUACUAGUAUAGAAUAAGUGAGUUUAAUUUGUUCUUCAUCGUAAUUGCCAAGCAUGGAAAGAAUGAGAGAAGAAUAAAUAAAGGGUCUGGUUAAAGUUCCUUAUUUGAAUUCUUGAAGAAGAAAAGAAGAAAGAAGAUGUGUUGGUUCAUUUAAUACUGAGCCAAUGUCUGUGCUAUUUCCGUUCAAGACAGUUUUGAACCUGGCCCCGUUCGCAUCUUCAACUCUGGUACUAAUUACUUCCUUUUCUUCUCUCUCAUAAACAUUAGCACAGACGGAGCUACAGUUCUGUUUACGAGUUCGGCAAAAUUCAGUAGUUCCGGUUUAGAUAUUGUAUUUGUGUUAAAAAUUUAAUUAAUAUAUACAAACCCAUAAUCCAUAUACUCAAAAUCGUAACUUUGCCAGUUUGCCUCAGUACUAAUAGUAUAGAAUAGUGAGUUUUGUUCUUCAUCGUAAUUGCCAAGCAUGGAAAGAAUGCGAGAAGAAUAAACAAAGGGACUGGUUAAAGUUUCUUUUUUGAAUGCUUAAAGAAGAAAAAAAAGAAUUCGUGUUAGUUCAUUAUACUGUGCCGAUGUUUGUCUAUUUCUGUUCAAGAUAGCUUUGACCGGAAGCAGCAUUCUCCAUUUCCAAUGUUUUUCUGUGUAGAGCAAGAAAACCCUAUUAACGACUGUACGAGGGGAGUAAUAGUAUAUACUCCCUCCCUCCUAUACAAAAUAAGUGAUACAGGUUAAGAAAUACUACAUCUUUAAUUUUAGUAUUUAAUUUUUAUGUCUCACAUUAGCACUCUUACACAUAUUUCAAUACUAUUUAGUCCAACAACAACAACAACCCAAUAUAAUCCCAUUUCGUGGGGUCUGGGAAGAGUAGUAUGUACGCAGACUUCACCCCUACCCUGAGGUAGAGAGGCGGUUUCCAAAUAGACCCCAGACAUUAUUCCCUCCAAAAACUUACCACCUUGCUCUUGGAGUGACUCGAACUCACAACCUCUCGGUUGAAAGUGAAGGUUGCUUAUCAUCAGAGCAAUUCCUCUUGUCCAAAAUAUUAUAGAAAAAAAUAAUUAAUUCAUUUUUAAAAUUUGGAAAAGUUAUUUAUUUUAGCACAAAAAAAUACCAAAAAUUACUUAUUUUGGACCGAAGAAAGUACAUAUUUUAGUGUUACAAAAAGAUAAUAAUACAUGAUUUGGUUGCAUCAUUGUUGAAAAAGAGAUGGAUUGGUUGCAUUAUGCAAUAAAUAAAUAGAGAGACAGACAAAUCUUCCAGAUAUAAACAGUGAGGAAGCCACACGUUUGUUUCUCUAAUCUUCUUUAAUUUAGCUUUAGCUUUAUGGGUCCAAAUUUCCAGUAUAUUCUGACAAAUUCUUAAUGGUAAUAUUGUUCCCACUAGAUAAAUUCUGCUUUACAUGUAUAUGAUCUCUCUCUCACAAACACAUUUAUCAGGCACUCCACAGCAACUACUUGAGUCUUAUAGUUCGU
RNAcentral lists this long non-coding RNA (1767 nucleotides) under Nicotiana benthamiana. Its description in RNAcentral is "long non-coding RNA (NBEN_LNC042265)". The record is from RNAcentral. Lineage: Eukaryota; Viridiplantae; Streptophyta; Magnoliopsida; Solanales; Solanaceae.